RNAcentral lists this ribosomal RNA (1404 nucleotides) under Arthrobacter sp. 01-Je-001. Its description in RNAcentral is "bacterial SSU rRNA". It matches the Rfam family "Bacterial small subunit ribosomal RNA". The record is from RNAcentral. Lineage: Bacteria; Bacillati; Actinomycetota; Actinomycetes; Micrococcales; Micrococcaceae.
CGAUGAUCCGGUGCUUGCACCGGGGAUUAGUGGCGAACGGGUGAGUAACACGUGAGUAACCUGCCCUUGACUCUGGGAUAAGCCUGGGAAACCGGGUCUAAUACCGGAUACGACCUGUCACCGCAUGGUGGCGGGUGGAAAGAUUUAUUGGUUUUGGAUGGACUCGCGGCCUAUCAGCUUGUUGGUGAGGUAAUGGCUCACCAAGGCGACGACGGGUAGCCGGCCUGAGAGGGUGACCGGCCACACUGGGACUGAGACACGGCCCAGACUCCUACGGGAGGCAGCAGUGGGGAAUAUUGCACAAUGGGCGAAAGCCUGAUGCAGCGACGCCGCGUGAGGGAUGACGGCCUUCGGGUUGUAAACCUCUUUCAGCAGGGAAGAAGCGAAAGUGACGGUACCUGCAGAAGAAGCGCCGGCUAACUACGUGCCAGCAGCCGCGGUAAUACGUAGGGCGCAAGCGUUGUCCGGAAUUAUUGGGCGUAAAGAGCUCGUAGGCGGUUUGUCGCGUCUGCUGUGAAAGCCCGGGGCUCAACCCCGGGUCUGCAGUGGGUACGGGCAGACUAGAGUGCAGUAGGGGAGACUGGAAUUCCUGGUGUAGCGGUGAAAUGCGCAGAUAUCAGGAGGAACACCGAUGGCGAAGGCAGGUCUCUGGGCUGUAACUGACGCUGAGGAGCGAAAGCAUGGGGAGCGAACAGGAUUAGAUACCCUGGUAGUCCAUGCCGUAAACGUUGGGCACUAGGUGUGGGGGACAUUCCACGUUUUCCGCGCCGUAGCUAACGCAUUAAGUGCCCCGCCUGGGGAGUACGGCCGCAAGGCUAAAACUCAAAGGAAUUGACGGGGCCCGCACAAGCGGCGGAGCAUGCGGAUUAAUUCGAUGCAACGCGAAGAACCUUACCAAGGCUUGACAUGGACCGGACCGCCGCAGAAAUGCGGUUUCCCUUCGGGGCCGGUUUACAGGUGGUGCAUGGUUGUCGUCAGCUCGUGUCGUGAGAUGUUGGGUUAAGUCCCGCAACGAGCGCAACCCUCGUUCUAUGUUGCCAGCGCGUUAUGGCGGGGACUCAUAGGAGACUGCCGGGGUCAACUCGGAGGAAGGUGGGGACGACGUCAAAUCAUCAUGCCCCUUAUGUCUUGGGCUUCACGCAUGCUACAAUGGCCGGUACAAAGGGUUGCGAUACUGUGAGGUGGAGCUAAUCCCAAAAAGCCGGUCUCAGUUCGGAUUGAGGUCUGCAACUCGACCUCAUGAAGUCGGAGUCGCUAGUAAUCGCAGAUCAGCAACGCUGCGGUGAAUACGUUCCCGGGCCUUGUACACACCGCCCGUCAAGUCACGAAAGUUGGUAACACCCGAAGCCGGUGGCCUAACCCCUUGUGGGAGGGAGCCGUCGAAGGUGGGACCGGCGAUUGGGA